CUGCAGCCCGAGUGGUGAUCGAUUUUAUUGAGCCUAAAGCGUCCGUAGCCGGACAAGUAAACCCUUGGGUAAAUUGGGCAGCUUAACUGUCCAAAUUCCGAGGGGACUGCUAGUCUUGGGACCGGGAGAGGUCAGAGGUACUCAAGGGGUAGGGGCUAAAUCCUGUAAUCCUUUGGGGACCACCAGUGGCGAAAGCGUCUGACUAGAACGGAUCCGACGGUAAGGGACGAAACCCUGGGGCGCGAACCGGAUUAGAUACCCGAGUAGUCC
Molecule: ribosomal RNA, 270 nt
Filed under: uncultured archaeon
Lineage: Archaea
Description: partial 16S ribosomal RNA
Rfam family: Archaeal small subunit ribosomal RNA
Source: RNAcentral